This 460-nucleotide ribosomal RNA is filed under the name uncultured bacterium. RNAcentral describes it as "partial 16S ribosomal RNA". It matches the Rfam family "Bacterial small subunit ribosomal RNA", at positions 338 to 795 of the family's 1533-position model. The record is from RNAcentral.
CCUACGGGUGGCAGCAGUGAGGAAUAUUGGUCAAUGGACGCAAGUCUGAACCAGCCAUGCCGCGUGCAGGAAGACGGCUCUAUGAGUUGUAAACUGCUUUUGUACGAGGGUAAACGCAGAUACGCGUAUCUGUCUGAAAGUAUCGUAUGAAUAAGGAUCGGCUAACUCCGUGCCAGCAGCCGCGGUAAUACGGAGGAUUCAAGCGUUAUCCGGAUUUAUUGGGUUUAAAGGGUGCGUAGGCGGUCUGUUAAGUUAGAGGUGAAAUCCUGAGGCUCAACUUAGGAAUUGCCUCUGAUACUGGUCGUCUAGAGAGUAGUUGCGGUAGGCGGAAUGUAUGGUGUAGCGGUGAAAUGCUUAGAGAUCAUACAGAACACCGAUUGCGAAGGCAGCUUACCAAGCUACUUCUGACGUUGAGGCACGAAAGCGUGGGGAGCAAACAGGAUUAGAUACCCGAGUAGUC